GUAUCACUGUAGGGGGUAGAGCACUGUUUCGGCUAGGGGGUCAUCCCGACUUACCAAACCGAUGCAAACUCCGAAUACCUACAAGUGCCGAGCAUGGGAGACACACGGCGGGUGCUAACGUCCGUCGUGAAAAGGGAAACAACCCAGACCGUCAGCUAAGGUCCCAAAGUUAUGGUUAAGUGGGAAACGAUGUGGGAAGGCUUAGACAGCUAGGAGGUUGGCUUAGAAGCAGCCACCCUUUAAAGAAAGCGUAAUAGCUCACUAGUCGAGUCGGCCUGCGCGGAAGAUGUAACGGGGCU
Molecule: ribosomal RNA, 299 nt
Filed under: Bacillus altitudinis S70-5-12
Lineage: Bacteria; Bacillati; Bacillota; Bacilli; Caryophanales; Bacillaceae
Description: partial 23S ribosomal RNA
Rfam family: Bacterial large subunit ribosomal RNA
Source: RNAcentral